AAAAGACUAGUUAAAAUAUAACAUAAAUUUGUCAAAUUUAAGUAAUUAGAAAUUAAUGUUUUUUA
Molecule: transfer RNA, 65 nt
Filed under: Decolopoda australis
Lineage: Eukaryota; Metazoa; Arthropoda; Pycnogonida; Pantopoda; Colossendeidae
Description: tRNA-Asp
Source: RNAcentral